CGACGACGGCACAUAAAUGUCAUUGUCAAUAAAAGUCAAAAUAGAAAAUUAACCUAAUAGGUAGAUAUAAAUUAUUUUUAUUGCAAUCAAAAUAAACAGAAAAUAUGAGUGUAACUCUACGCCUAGGUUUAAUUAACAAAGUUGUGGCCCGAGCACUUAGCAGCACUGUUGUGUUGAGGUACAAAAGAAUGGCGUGUAGCACGAGGUCUGCCAGUUAACCGCAAUGCUGAAGGGAUUCUUACCGACGGUCCGGACUAUACAUUUUUGGACGGAAGACCAACACCGCUUCUGCACAAACAAAAGCUGAGGAUGUUACGACAGAGACAAUAUGCAGAACAAAUAGUACAACUUUGCUCCGAACUGGACUUUGCAAAGGAAAGAUACCAGAAGAUGCAACUAGCGAAGGAACAAGAGAAACAACAGAUCUUAUCGGAUCGGCUGAAGCCCAAAGGAUCCGCUUUGUAUAGGAAAAAGUAAUAUGUUAGUAGUGUAUAUGAUAGUUAUAAAUAUAUGUAGUUGUAA
Molecule: long non-coding RNA, 522 nt
Filed under: Manduca sexta (tobacco hornworm)
Lineage: Eukaryota; Metazoa; Arthropoda; Insecta; Lepidoptera; Sphingidae
Description: uncharacterized LOC119189433
Source: RNAcentral